RNAcentral lists this long non-coding RNA (31933 nucleotides) under Ananas comosus (pineapple). Its description in RNAcentral is "long non-coding RNA (ACOM_LNC031130)". Lineage: Eukaryota; Viridiplantae; Streptophyta; Magnoliopsida; Poales; Bromeliaceae. The record is from RNAcentral.
AAAAAGAAAAAAAAGUGUCUCUGUGACUAAUAGUCCAUGCAAGUCAUUUUUUUGGAGCUUGCAAAGUUUGAGAAGCAAAUUAAUAAAGUUGUUGAAAAUUCCACAUGAGAUAAAAUAAGGAACAGUUAUUGAAACUCAGUGUGUAAGAGGUGAGGUAAUAUAUAUAUAGGAAGGGUAGAGGAAGGAUCAUGUACACCAAACAUUAAUUAGUUAAUUUCAACAAAAAGUACACAUUGACCAAUUAAACUAAUCCACCACUAUCAAUUCACAUAAUAGUACUCUAAUAAAACAAAUCUAUUUAUGUACUUAAUCCCAAUUAGAGCACAAUUAAGCUUAAGAAUAUGUUGUUUAUGAAUUGUUUGUAGACCAGUACCAUGCAAGUUGUUUAUGGUUAAUCGUAGUUUUGAUGUGCCACAAAUAUAUAAUUUGGUUGAGGAAUUAACGACGUGUUCGUAUUAUAAACUUUUUAGUUAUGACAUACAAUGCAUGGUUUGAACGUGAAUCGAUCGUUCUUUCUAUGAGAGACUAGAUUAUGUGAAACAUCUUCUUUUUUUUUUCUUUCUUUCUUUUAUUGUUUUCUUCAAGAGAAUAGUACUAUUAGUACCAGCAAUUCUCGACCAACUAUUGCCUAACAAAGUUUUUUUUUUGCGAGAAUUGGAGUAAAAGAGAUUUGACUCUCGUAUUUUAAUCAAGAGAUUGAUUAUUCUCGUGUCAAACUAGUUAAAUUUAAACAGUAGUCAAAGAAGCUCUACUGUUGAUAAUUAAUUGAUCACUCUAACCACUACCGUGUUUCCAGGAGAAUGAUAUAUAGAUAUAUAUAUAGAGAGAGUUCAGCUACUAUGCUAGCUAUUAAUAGCACGAAGUAUUUGGUGCUAUCAAGUUUUCCGCCGUUAGAUCUACCCUUUUGAUCAUUUUCACCCGUUAGAUCAUACUAUUCAACCAACCACCCACUCAACCUUAGGAGACCCACAUCAUCCUAACCGCACAUCUUUUAAUCCAACGGCCAAAAAUUUGAUAGCACCAAUGACUUGGUGCUAUUAAUAGUAUAUUAGCCUAUAUAGUUCUAUAUAUAUAUAGAGAGAGAGAGAGAGAGAGAGAGAACUAGGCUACUAUGCUAUUAAUAGCACCAAGUCAUUGGUGCUAUCAAGUUUUUGGCCAUUGCAUUAAGAGAUGUGUGGUUAGGAUGAUGUGGGCCCCCCUAGGGUUGAGUGGGUGGGUGGUUGGUUGAAUAGUAUGAUCUAACGGAUGAAAAUGAUCCAAAAGGUAGAUCCAACGGCGGAAAACUUGGUAGCACCAAGUCCUUCGUGCUAUUAAUAGCAUAGUAGCCGGACUCUAUAUAUAUAUAUAUAUAUAUAUAUAGAGCUAGUCUCCUAUACUAUUUACGGUACCGGGGCUUCGAUACUAUAGUAUCGUUUUUUAUUUAGGGUGUUCAAAUCAACGAUCCACGUCGUUAAAACUGAUCUAGAGUAUUUAAAGUUUUUAGAAAUAAAAUUUUAUAUUUUUUCGACAUAGUUUACUUUAUAAUCAAACCAUUUCAAAAUUGUCAAUUUUCAAUGGCUACUAUGGUGAGUUUGGAGUUUAACGGUGUAGAAGAAUUUAAAUUUCUUCAAAUUUUGAUAGAAAAUACUUUAAACUAUCUAGAUUAAGGUUAAGAUUUUUUAUCUUGAAUUUAAAAGUCCUAUACUAAAAUUUUAAAGAUUAUUCAAUUUUCACCGUCCAUUUUGACAUAAUUUAUGUACUAAGUAAAUGAUGUCGAAAAAAACUAAAAUUUUAUUCCUAAGAACUUUAUAUACCCUAAAUCAUAUUUAACGGUGUAGAUCGUUAAUUUGAACACCCUAAGAACGAAAACAAGACUAUAUAUAGUAUCGGAGCUCCGGUACUAUAGAUAGUAUAGUAGCCUAAUUCUAUAUAUAUAUAUAUAUAUAUAUAUAUAUAUAGAACUAGACUACUAUGCUAUUAAUAGCAAAGUCAUUUGCGCUACCAAGUUUUUGGCCAUUGGAUCAAGAGAUGUGCGAUUAGGAUGAUGUGGACCCCCUAGAGUUGAGUGGGUGGUUGGUUGAAUAGUAUGAUCUAAUGGGUAAAAAUGAUCAAAAGUGUAGAUCUAACGGCGGAAAACUAAUUGGUAGCACCAAGUGCUUCGUGCUAUUAAUAGCAUAGUAGCCGGACUCUCUCUCUCUCUCUCUCUCUCUCUCUAGAUCUCUCUCUCUCUCUCUCUCUCUCUCUCUCUCUCUCUAUAUAUAUAUAUAUAUAUAUAUAUAGGAAAAGGCAAAAGAAGAAAGCAAAAGAGACGAGGAAGAAUUCAAAUUAUAAAAAAAUGUAGAGAAGAAAACUGAGUUACUGAUAUGUCUCAAAAUCUAGGUAUGCAUGGGAAUUUACAAAAUGUGAAGGAACAAUCCUCUCUAUUUCAGUGACAGCUUUUUGAGGAACUAAUUAAAUUUGCCUAUUUCUUUCUUGGCAUAUAAAGUUGAAGCUAAAGUUGGUGUGAUCAUUUCUUCUAUUAGACAUUUUCAUUGCACAAAGAUGCAAAAAUAACAUGGAAAAGUCAAUAUAACAAGAAAAGAAGUAAAAGAAGAUCAAGAAAUGCAUCAGUCAUAGAAAUAAGACUAAGUUUGAUCAAGAAUAUGGUAGUUGCAUACUCAUAAGCAACGAGUUUGCACAAAUAAUUCUGAAUAUUAUUUCAACACUUUUUUCAUUAGAUCGUUCGUUUAGAUGAUAUGGUAUUGGUACUAGCCCGAUGCCACUCAGUUUCGUAAUGUCACGGGUCCAAAUCUUAACAUUCACCAUGUGAUAUUUUUCAUUUUUUUAUUUUUAAAAUUUUUAUUUACUCAUAUGAAAUCCUCAGCUAAAAGGUUUAAUGAUAUAUAGAUGCAUUAAGGGAAAUUGUGACAUCUAAUUUAUGUAUUUACAAGGGGAGACAUGAUAAUAACAACUUCGAAGGACAUUAAUUAUGAUAUAUAUUUCACAACUUUUGCAGGGUAAAAAUUAAUUAGCCCUAAUAAUUAACAUUAAUUACUAGCAAUAUAUCUUCAUCCCAUGAGAAGAACAAAGAAAUAAAACCUUAUGUUAGAUAUAUAUGUUUCGAAUUAUUAAGCCAUAAGGCUUUUAACUCUAUUCUAUUUUGGUAAUCCCAUUUAGUAAAGUUGGGAUUAUUAUAAUCUUGUUAGAUUAUGCGUUCUAGAAUAUAUUAUAAAAAGAAUUUUGCAAAUUCUCUCUCUAUUUUACUUUCUACGAUUUUACUUUGUCAAUUUGUAUGAUGAAGGGUGACGAUACAUGCAAAAAGUUAUAAGAAACAUAAGAUCGAAACUUGAUACCACUCUACCACCUUUUCUUUUGCUACUAAAUAAAAGUAACUAUGAAUAAAUAAAUAAAUAAAAGUAACUAUGAAUAAAUUAUAAAUAGCUAAAUAAGUCCAAGCCAUUUAUGUGUAUAAUUUUUCAACAAAAAUGUUCUCAUGCAAUAGCUAGUAUCCUGCAACAAUUUUUUUUUUUUUAAAAUCCCUGAAAUGAUCUAGCAUUUUGCCUCUCUAUCUCUUGUGUAGAUAUUUAGAUGCUUUCAAAAUUAGUUUACUAUAUAUUUAUAUAUUUAUAUUCAAAUAUCUCUUGGUAAAACAAUGAUUUAGAAAUCAUGAUAUCAUCCAAUGAUUCUUACAGAUCUUAUGAAAAUGAAGUUUAUAAUAACAAAUAGGACGACAUUAGCAUUAAGAAGGUGAUUUUGGUGAUUUUCUCCAUUCAAUUGUUUGAUUGUUAACUUAUAUAUAUAAUGAAGUUUAUGAAAGUGUGUUCAUGCAUGAUCUAAGCUCCCCAACAUGAGAAAUUGUAUAUUGUAGUACUUGAUCAAUAAAGAGGCCAUUAAAUAAUUCUAAGAUAAGAUCUUAAGAAAUUAUCGUUCAAAAAUCACUGUGAAUGAAACUGUAAUUAUCAUUCAAUAAUCACUUUGAAUGUAACUAUUUUUUUACUAUUCCAAAUGUGGGUAUGGCCCACUAAGCACAAACACUAGGGAGGUUGUUUGCCUACAACACAUUAUAUACUAUUUGUUAGUUGAGGGGAGCUUAACCAAUCACUAAGAAUAGGGAACAGUACAAGGGCUUCUUCCUUGUUCCCCAGAGAAAAAAAAAAUUUAAAAAAAAAUUCAAAAGGUGUUCGUGAUCUUCGUGAUUGCAAUAAUAAUUAUAAUUAUAAUGACGAAGGUGCAUGAUGAUAAUCAAGCGAGAUAUACUUGAAACUUUCACUAGGUGCAUGGCGCGUGGCGUAACGAAUAUUGGGCUUUUGAAUGAUCUUGCAUAAAAGCAACAUGAAGAAUAUGAGUGAGAAAACAAAUUACUUGGUCAUAGCCAAAUAGGUUGCUUUAUUUUUUGGGUAAACUAAUGUAUUUGGUGGUCACAUAUCUAAAAAUCUUGUUAACUCACCAAACCAUAACAGCAUUAGUUGUAACUGUAUCUACUAUAUAAAGGUGAUAGUGAUGCUGUGAAUGUCACAUAUGAACAUGCAAAACAUAGUUUUGAUUAGUAUAUAUACAUGUAUGUUCUCUGUCAUAUAAAUUAACUUAAAUCACUAGAAGUUAUUUGUUAUUAGAGAUGUAUAUAUAUCAUGGUUUACAUGAAUUGUUAUUUUGGUAAAAAGCCAAAAAUAUGUUGUGAUAAUGAGGAAUUAAUUAAUCCUGAAUUGUUGUUGUGGCACUUUAAGUGAAAAUUUGUAGUGGCUUCUAUUAAUUAGUCCAUGAAAACUGUGAAUCACAUGCAUAAAAUUUAAAUUGGAUAGUAAUUUUGAAAUUCUCUACACUUUGGGCUAUCAUCUAUACCACCCAGUAGUACCCUUAGGGUUAGGAUGAUGUGGGCCCCCUAGGGCUAAGUAGUGGUUGGUUGAAUAGUAUAAUCUAACGGGUAAAAAUAAUUAAAGGGUUAAAUUUAACGAUGGAAAACUCGAUAGCGCAUCAAAUUCUUGGUGCUAUCGAUAGUAUCCCAGCGGGACUCCCCCUACCUGUUCAUUAUUAAUUAGCAGGCCUUUUAUUGUGAACAGAUUCCAACACAGCUACAUAUAUACAUUCCUACAUUAUCUUUUAAGGGAUAGUUGUUUAUGUACGUAUGAAAAUUUCUUGACUUUCUUAUUUAUUCUUUUUAGAAGGUUAAUAUUAAAGAUAUUUUUUUUAAUAUUUUAAAUUAUUGCAAAUAUGCUACUAAAUUUAAAUUUUGUUAGGAAACUGUUAGGGACAGCCGUUAUCUCUGUAAAAUUAUCAUUUUAUUAUUUUAAAUAAAUACUUCUACUGUCAUCAACUUUUCUUAUUUGCUUAAGUUAGGGGCAAAAAAAGUAUUUUGACCAUUUACCUUUUCAAAUUUACCCUUCUACUGUUACCAACUUUUUUUAUUUGUUCUUAAGUUAGGGACAAAAGAGAUAUUUUGAUUUUUUUAACUUUGAUGACUUAACGGAUACUAAUACCGAAAUUAUUUUUGAAUAACGAAAAAAUAUAUGAAAGAUAUAUUUGAAACAAAAAAAAAGUAAAAAUAUAUAAGUAUUUCAAAGGUUUUGAGAGGUAUAUUAGAUAAUAUCCCAUUUAAUUAGACAUUGCUACAAAUAUUAUAAUUUUCCAUAUCUUUAAAAGUAAGAAUAUAUAUAGGUUUAAUAUUGUACAUAAUAUAUAAGAGUUUUUCUACCAACAGUUCUGAGCUUUAGAGAUGGUCCAAGCGUUUUAACGUCAUAUAUAUCAGAGUCAUGUCGAUGAACUAGGUUUGACAAAGACCUACCUGAUCUUUUAUAAGAUUAAAAGCAAAUAUAUAAGAUCAACAAAAUCUGAAAAAAUUACUGCACUAAUUUGACAACAAAGUAUAGAAAAUUAAACAAUUUUAGGUAAAAAUAUCCUGAAUUUAUCUGAUCUACAGACCAUUAAUUUUGGCUAUCCCAUCUUUCAAAAGUUUGAUUUAUUACUCAACCUUUUAAUUUACCUAGUUUAAGUCAGUCAACGAUACUUUGACUUCAAAAUUUAAGCUAAUUACUUAUUUUACUAAAUUUAUAGUUGUGAGAAUUAUAUAAAGUACACUAAUUAAAUAUGUAAAAAUAGAUAAUAUAUUCAAAUUUUAAAAUCAAAGUGCUCUUGACCGUCUUAAAUCAAACAGAUUGAAAGAUUGGACAGCAAAAUCAAAAUUUCAAAAAGAUGGAUAGUUAAGUCAAAAUAGCUAUAUUUCGUUUUUACCAAAACUUUAGUUACUUUUUUUUUGCUAGAUUUCGUUUUCCUCUACGAUCGAAAGUAUGUGUCACUGUACGAUAAAUGCAUUUUUCACUAUAUGUACAAUAAAUAGGACAUUUCCCUUUCUUUUUCGUUGUUCAAAUUUUAUUAGAAAGGUACAAUUAAGUUGCAUAUGUAUUCCUAUGGUUUAGGACCACAUGAUCUAGCCAACAUAAUUAAUACCUCCAUAGAGAAACAUAUGAUUCGGAAAUGGAAAGUACAACAUAAGGUCCACCAAAAUUAUAUAUAUAUAUAUAUAUAUAUAUAGAGAGAGAGAGAGAGAGAGAGAGAGAGAGAGAGAGAGAGAGAGAGAGAAUUUAAUUAGUGUUUCUAAUUAAGAUAUAAUGGCCAUUCUUAUUUGACCUCUUAACAUGUUUUUAUGAGUAUAAUAAGAUACAUAUAUAACACACACAGCCAAGAUCCUGUGGGCACGCAAAACCCAGAAACGUUGCAAUAUUGUCUCGUCUAAAUAUUACUUGGUUAUGAUCAAUAUAAGCACAAGUCAACCCCAUGUGAGUUUAUAUGUUAAUGUAGAAAAAAAAAAAGAAAAAAAAAGAAAAAAAAAAGAGUUCACAUAUAUUGUUUUAGCCACUUGGGCCAAUGGGAGGAGAAAUAGGGUCCACGUGGACACCCACCAUCUGAGAUUUUGCAUGCCCUAACCCUAACCCUAACCCUAACCCUAACCCUAGCCCUAGGCCCUAGAAUGUGCCAUACAAGGAGGGGGCAAGUUGUUCCUUCCUUGCUUCUUGUUGGGGGGGAUAUUAAUCCCCAUGUGCUCAUACCCUAACCCCCUCUUAUUGUUGCGUGGCAAUAGUCCACACCUAAUCCUCCUCUGCCCUCUUUGAUAACGUGUCAAUCAUACAAGAUCAUGUUCUAAUUACUAUAUAUCUACAGUAUAUGUCUUAAGUUUCCAAAAUAACCCUUCCCUUCUAUCUCAGAGACUUUUCCGUCCUUGUCCUUGUCCUCUUCAUCGUUUUCGUAACUAGUUUGUGAUCGAGAAUUUGGCUAAAAGAAUAGAAUCAGAGUAUGCAGAUCGAGAAAUUAAUCUCGAUCAAAUAAUAGAAACCAUUACAUAUAUAGGGGGAAAACGCUACUAAUCUGGCGAAGGGCAAAAUAGUCAUUUGUAGCUAUACAGACUAGUUAUAAAUAUUUAUUUAUAUAUAAUUUAAAAGUUGCAAGAAUCAAGUAUGUAGUAGUAUUCUAAAUGUGCAGGUGGAUAAGCAACUACUCCCCAGUAUUACAAGUCAAAAAUAUAAAUAUAUUUUUGCAUGAAGAAUACAUGCAAACGUGACUUGUAUUGGGGCCCCUUCGCUCCUGUUCAAAAGCCUCGAUUAAGCUAAAUAUCCAAAGAUUAUAUAAAGUAGGUCAGUGUCAUGCAUUUGUGUCAACACUAAUUAAAGGGCAUAUUAGUACUUGGAAAGGACUUUAUUUUGUAGUCAUAAUUAAGUGGCUGCGUCUCCCUUACUCAAUAACUUUGCUUUUAACUAUUUUUUAUUCUUAGCCCCACACCCUAUAAAACCCUAACAACACAAGGGCCAAGAACCAAAUCCAAACUCUCCAACACCCCUUUAGUUUCUUUUCCCUUCCGCAACAACACUCUUCACAAUUCAAACACAGCCCAAGGUUUGUUAAACAAAUUAACCAACUCCCAAAACCAACUUUUUCUUUUCUACAACAGUGGAGAAGCAUUUGGAGUUGUUAUUAAUUGACCCUAACAAUGCAAGUGAAUUGUUAUGGCUCUUGCAGGAGGUAGGAAGGGAUCGAUGGGGAGGGCGCCGUGCUGCGACGAUGUCGGGCUAAAGAAGGGGCCGUGGACGCCGGAGGAGGAUAAGUUGCUCACGGACUACAUUCAGCAGAACGGCGACGGCUGCCUAAGCUCGCGGGCCUCAACAGGUGUGGCAAGAGCUGCCGCCUCCGGUGGACGAACUACCUCCGCCCUGACAUCAAGAGGGGGAGGUUCUCCGAGGACGAAGAGAAGCUCAUCAUCCACUUACACUCGGUCCUCGGAAACAAGUAUGUAUAUAUAUAUACACACUCCAUUAUCCCUGUCAACUUUUGAUCUUGUUAGCUUCCAAAGCAUAUACCAAUCAGCAAAAAUGUAACUCAAGUAGAGCUAUACGUUUCAACAGUAUUGAUUUCUUGCAACAGAUGCAGAAGUUUUAAAUUAGAGUUUCUACUUUUACAACUUAAAAACAUAUUUCAACUUCCCUGACCUUCUAAGAGCUUCUCCUUUCUAGUUAGAGUGGAGAAGUUGUUCGAGAAGCUAGGCUAGAACCAUUCUAAAAGUUUUUUGUUUCUAAAAAUCUUCUCCUUAACUUUCAAUAAGAACUAACUGAUAGUUUUGUAUUCGAAGGUGGUCAUCGAUCGCGACGAGGCUGCCAGGACGAACUGAUAACGAGAUCAAGAACUACUGGAACACGCACCUCAGAAAGAAGCUCCUCAACAUGGGGAUCGACCCGGUCACGCACAGGCCUAGGGCUGAUCUUAAUCUACUCGCGAGCCUUCCCAACUUGCUCACGGUGGCCAACCUCGGAAACAACCUAAGAAGCCACUGGGAUAUUAAUGCUCUUAGACUUCAAGCUGAUGCCGCAAACCUAGCGAAGCUGCAGGUGCUGCAGAGCCUUCUCCAAGUCUUAACUAACAAUACUGCAACAAGUGCUCCAAACAUGGACUUGCUUAGUCUCUUGGGCUCAUCAUCAUCAACCUCUUUGAGGAACAAGCAGUUAAGUGAUCUCCUCCAAUUCAGAAGCCAAUACGAGGGGAUUCUCGGCAGCUCUCUUGGCCUCCAGAGCGCGAUCACGGCAUCUUCGAGCUUAUCGAACCUAGAGCUGAUGAACUCUCUUCACAACUUCCAAGGUUGCAUGGAAACAAAGCCUAUCAAUAUUGACGGCGGCGGCGACGACGCAGUCGCCGCUCCGAUGGAGGGUUGUAGCUCAAGUGAGCUUGGAUUGGAGAGUAACGCCGCAAGUACUAACACUAAUCUUUGCUCACUACCUACUUCAAACUCUACACCUUCACUGGUCUCAGCUUCCCCAGAGAACUGCCCCCAUGCCGACCCGAUCAACGCGAACGACGGAUCGAUCAAUUCCCCGACCUCGGCUCCCUUCGACGGAUGGGAGAGCCUCAAUCUCGAUGACCUGAACAUUGAUCUUGGCUUGAAAGACAUUCUAGAGUAAGCAACUUCAUUGAUACUUUAAUUUCUAUUUUGUUAGUACUAUAUAUUUUUCAUCGACAGGUUAGGUGUUUAGCCAUUGAAACAUGCAUGCGUGUAUAUAUUUACGAUACGAUCUCUUAUUCCGCAGGCAGAUGUCGUGGCUGAACACGCCGUUGAGCGCGGAGGGGAGCCAUUAAAUAUUUCUCCAUAGGAAGCAGCAAAAAGAAGAAAAAAAUUGUAUUCAUGGAUUGAUUUGUUAUACAUUUAAGAAUUAAUUCAAAGUUAGUCAUUAGUUAGUUGUUGUGAAGGAGAUAAUUUUAGUUAUGUACAAAAAGAAAAAAGAUCAAGUACACUUGUAUGAGUAUUUUCUUUUUCUUUUUCUUUUUCUUUUUCUUUGUCUUCUUUUGAAGGACAUCCCAUGUAAUGAUUUUCAUAUGGAAUAAAUUACUUUUUUAGUUCUUUCAUCUCAUGGUUACUUGUUUAUGGUUAAUUGUUUGACUUGUUGUUGUUCUUUUUUAUAUUUUUUUCAGCUACUAGUAAAGUUGAUCAUAGAAAUUUCUACUAAAUUUAUGGCACUGUUACGCUAUUUGUUGCUAUGUAUAUAUAUAUAGGCCAUAUAUAGAUAUUCAAAAAAACCAAAGAAAAGUGAUUUUUCGAUUCACUUCUUGUUCUUUUACUCUUCAACUACGAGUAAAGUUGGUAGUAAUACGAUCCUCUGCUUAUACGUACAAGUGACAAUGUAUUAGUAGUUACUACAUGAUUUACAUUGCUAUAGAUACUAUUGUGGUUGGUAAUAUGUGGGGCCUAGAAGUCAAAAAUGGGUAAAGAAAAUGUCAUAUUCUUUAUUUGGUGCAUAUAUAAGAGCUUAGAUUUAUAUAUACAACAUGAAGUGCUCUAAAAUAGGGUAUAUCCCUGUUUAAUCAAAAAAAAAAAAAAAAAAAAAAAAAAAAAAAAAAAAACAUGAAGUGCUCUUUCAAAUCAAGGUUACUUGCUUGAUGAGAAUUGAACAUAUAUAUAUUUAGUUUUAGUGUCCACAUCAGAAGAUGUUAAUAAGGGGUAGGAUUGGGUAGCUGAAACAUUUGAUAACGUAAACGGUAUAUUAUUUGAUUAUUAGUUAGUUGGAGUUGGAGAUGGCUUAUGCAAGUGGAAAUAGAAGGUGACAAAGACCCUGUUCCUGGAACUAGAAGCCUUAGGCCCUUAACUUGUGUGUUUGAUGAGGAGUAUGUAAGAGUUUGACCUUUGAUAAGGGACAAGUCAUCACCAUAUGCACCUGUUAAAAGGGGAACAGUUAGGAAAAGUUUUAACUAUAUAUUUUUUAUAUAUGUGUCUAUCCAAUGAGUUGGGGAACUUGUUUGGUACUUCUUUUUCUUCUUUUUUUUUUUUUGUUAUAAUGCAAAAGUGGAAGAUCAGAAAAUAUAUAAACACAUGAAGUGUGGGGAUAAAUUAUUAUUGAUUUGUGUUUUUUUUCUUUUUUGUUGGGGGGGUAUUUUGGAACAUAAGUCAUAUAAUUAGUUAGUCAUUAGGUGGACUCAUUGCUUAAACCACAAGCCAUUGACUGUUUGCAAAUUAAACCUAACAGCCUUAGCCCCCCAAACCAUAAGCCAUCUCUCUCUCUCUCUCUCUCUCUCUCUCUCUCUCUCUCUCUCCUGUGUGUGUUACACAAUAUUCUCUCUCUCUCUCUCUCUCUCUCUCUCUCUCUCUCUCUCUGUUACACAAUAUUUGUGUGCAUUGGCUUGUGUGUUUGUCUUUAUGUGUGAACAGUGCUUUGCUUUCUAAUUGGAGGGAUUACUUUAAUAUUUAAUACUAAUUACUGGUUUAAUUGGCAGUGUCAUUAAACAAGCUGGGUAGAGAUACAAUACUCUAAUAGCUACAUAGACCUUCGCACUCGUAAGUCAUUUUUAAUAAUAGAAUUUCUGAAUCAAUAAUUUAUGUACUGUUAAAUAUAAUUUAGAAUAUUUAAAGUAUUUGAAAAUCAAAUUUUAUAAACUCUAAAAUUUUUAUUAGGUUUAUCAAGCAGAUAUAAAAUAAAUAGUCAAAAUCAAAUGACUCUUAAAAAUAAGAGAUUAUUAUCUUCAAUUAAAGAUUAGUGUUAUUGAUCUUGAUUUAGAUAGUAAAUAAAAAAAUUUUAUUAAAAAUUCAACAAAUUCUAAUCUUUUACACUAUUAAAUUAGAAAACACCCUAUAUAUAUCGACCGUAGAAAUUGUCAAUUUUGAGAUUUUUUGAUCGUAUAAAAAAAAAUCAUAAAAUUCGAUUUGGAAAAUGUCUAAAUACUCUAAAUUAUAUUUAAUGGAUUAAAUAGUUAGUCUUGACUGUGUCGUACAUUUGUUUUGCUUGUGAUAAUUUUUUCCUAUUUGAAGUUUAUUUAAUAAAAUAUCUGAAUUUUGUUACAAUUCACCUGUAAUAAUAAUUCAACAUGCUAUACAAAUCUUGUGUGAGAAUUAAAUAUGCACAGGCCCUCAUCGUACAGGUCUAACCCUUUUUAAAUUAAGAGUGUUGUUCAUCGUCCUAUAUAUAUAUAAUAUAUAUAUAUAUAUAAAUAUAAUAUAAUUAUAUAUAUAUAUAGAGAGAGAGGGAGAGAGAGAGAGAGAGAGAGAGAAAGAGAGAGAGAGAAAGAGAGAGAGAGAGAGAGAGAGAGAGAGAGAGAUUUUAGCUUUGAAAGGGAAAAUUUUGAUCGAAUCAAUUUAUAUAUAUUGUUAUUAUUACAUGCAUAUUUAGUCCAUAUAUAGCUAGAUACCAAAUGAAAAUUAAAGUGAUUACAUGUCAUGCCACCUGAAAGAUAAAACAAACCACAGAAUAGCAUUCUCCAUGCAAGAUAUAUAGCUUUUCUAUGACCACAUGUCAUGUGUAUAUUUACUCAUGGUUCAAGUAUCAUUGCUUACAUCAAGGGUUUGACCACUUGGUUUAAUUUCCUCAGUAUUUUCAAAUGGACUUGAUCUCCUCAUUUAUACACACCAUCAUCAUCAUCACUGUAGCUCACUUUGAGAUGAAAGAUAGGUUUAAUAUUGCUUUCUCAACACAUAAAACCUUGUCCCACAAGGGAUUGCAUGAUAUUUAGUAGGUAAACUAUGGACCUAUAAGGAACAACCCCUUACCUACUCUCAGCAGAAUAUGUUGUGGUCUAACCUAAAGCUUCAUUGUCAUUGCAUCAUAUGGGUAUAAAGAAGGAAAUGUUACUUCCACAUCUAUGUACUUUGUGUCAAUUCCUAGUUACUUUCCUAAUGUUGAUCUAGAACAAUCAAUCAAUCACCUUUGAUCAAUUCUAGCUCUAUGUUAGUUUGCUUGAAGAGUACAACCAUCAAAUGACCACAUGCUUUGAUCACUAUAAUUCAGGACCAAUUUUUUAACAAACCAUAGUAAUUUCAUGAUUUAAAACAACAAGAGUUUCUUACUAUAUUAAUUUACUACACCAUAGUUCAAACAAAAGGAGAGACUUUGGAAAGAAUAUGUUUUCAAUGUCCUGAUUAAUUAACCUAUGACCUUCUUUAGUGGAAGAUCAUGACCUUCGUUUAAUUGAAUAUUAAUCUCGGCGGCGUUCGAGGUUUUGGUAUUGCUUCUAUGGAUUGAAAUCCAAAAAAGGUGUUUCACAUGUACACGCAGUAGAAGGAGAUUAGGUUGAACAGUACUAAUUUAUGAUAGCUACAAUUGAACAUGCAUGGUUUUAGAUGUGCUUACCAUGAAUGGUGUUUUCCUUGCAGUAAUACAAAUCAAAUCCUUCUUCCUUAAUCCUACUUAAGACAAAUGGUACAAGAUAAAUUUUGUUUCGAAAUAAGACAAUAUUUUAAUUGUUGGUAAGGUGAAGUCGCCAAGGUUAAGUUAAUGAAAUUAGGCCGUUAAUAGAAGUUGACUUACUUAAACUUCUCUUAAUUAUGCUACCAUCACAUAUGGCCACAUGCACGCACAGGAACGAGGAGAGGGGGGAGAUCAAAAUAUUAUUAAUAAGUCAGCAUAAAUAAUUUAUUUAACUUUCCAAAUUUGAAUCAUGAUACCCGGCAAAGCAGCUAGCAACUCUUAGAACUAAUAAUAAAUGAAAAAAUACCUAUAGACUAUAAUGUAUACAAUACCAACUCAUCAUGCAUCAACAGUAUCCUAAGAUACCUUCCAAGGCUCUAAGUAAAAUAAUGAUUUGAUACUUGUGCUCUAAUGAUGCUAGAUGAUCUGAAUCAAUGAUCCAUACUGUUAGAUAUAAUUUAGAGGCCAGCAACAAGGAGUCAUUAAUUGUUGUUUGUCUUGGGGCACCAAAAAUAUAAACACAAAUUUUACUGCAAGCGCACAACAAGACGGAUAAAAUUAAGUGUAACUGUACUUAGUUUUCAAUAAAGUGUAUAUAACUGGACAAAAAUUAAACAUAAUUUUCAUGAUAUUUUAAUCUUCAGUAAUAUUUCUUUUUAUUUUCAGAUAUCCACAAUUAAACAAUAUACUUAAGAAACUAAAAUAUAUAUAUAUAAAAGAACUUCAGAUAAUAUCAAAUUCUCUUUUUUGGUUUUUUUGUCCUAAUUCAGGUGCAGUGUCUAAAUAUUGUCAUAUAUAUUUGAAGAACCUUCUUUUUGGUCUGGGUUUCCUAUUUAUUUUUCUAUGGGGUUAGAUAAAAAAGAUGAGGUAUUACUGGUAGGAGAGAACACCAAAGAGCAUUAAUUCCACAACAAAAUGCAUUUCCUCAUUUAACUCUCAAAACACCCUCUAUAAGUGUUUAACUGUGUUUAGGUUUGAAGCCAUAUAAUUAAAUUUGGGCCGUCUAUUUUUUUUAAAAAAAAAGAAAAGCCAUUAAUAUGUAGGGCUAUGAAUCCUCAACCUCAACCUGCAUCUUUUGCCUAAUCUUUUAUUUGUUAGGAAAUUUCUAUAGAAAGAAAAUAAUUAAUCAGAUUAAAUAAACAUUAUUUGGUAUAAAAGAAAACUAUUAAUAGAUUUAUAUAUGAAUAUUGUAACGCCCCAAUAGUCCCACAUCGAAUGGAAUACUGAUUCCGAUCAGUUUAUAUGAGGCCUAACGUUAGUAAUAAUAACUAGACUUAAACAUUUUGAUCCGGUGAUUUGGGCCCAAUAAGUUAUUAUUGCUGGCGGGUCGGUUCGUUACAAUUAAUCCUAAAUCUUAAGCUGCAUUUUGGAAAAUUUAGAGGUUAUUAAUAGGUUUAUGAAUCCUCAACUUCAAGCCGUAUUUUUGCUUAACUAUUUAGAUAUUAGAAGCAAUUUCUCUAGGAGGAAAAAAAAACAUUAAACAUCUUAACUUGUUGGGUCUACUUCACUAGCCUAAAAUGUUAUAGCCCAGCUUUAAAUCCUAUAUAUCAAGUAUAAUAGGGCUAAACAUUUUAAUGAGACUUAAGAAAUUAAAAGGGUUAAAGAUGCUAGAAAUAGAGUAAUUCUAGAAUAGGUGACCCCUAGAUCGAUCCUUAAUAGUAUUGUCCAAAUAUUUUAGGUUACAAAAGAUAAUUAUUAGGUCGUAUAACUUCAUACAGUCAUCUACACUUUUCUUUUGCAGAGAAUUUAAUUAGAGGCCAUAGAAAAUAAAUACUUGAGCUAACUAAACCCUUUUUUUAUUUGUUUAAAUAUUUUUCUUGGAGAAUUUAAUCCUCAACCUCAAGCUGCAAAUUCUUCUAAUUUAAUUGUUACCAAUUUCUUAAAAAAAAUGGAAAAUCCUUUUUUUGGAAAAAAGAUAAUUAUACGAGCUUUUCUUUUGUGGAGAAAUUAGACGUCAUAGAAAAUAAAUAUUAGAGUUGUCUAAACAUUUUUUUUCUGGCUUAAAAACGAUAAAGAUAAUUAUUAAUAGGAACUUUGAUUUUAAAAAAUAUAAUUAUUAAUAGGAACUUUAGUUAAAAAAAAUAUAAUUAUUAAGAGUGUUAUCUAAACUUUUGUUUUCUUAUUUUUGGUGAAAAAAAAUUAUUAUCAACAGGGUUGUACAAACUUUUCUUUUGUGGAGAAUUUAGAGGUCAUAGAAAAUAAAUAUUUGGGUUGUCUAAACUUUUUUUUAGGCUUAAAAAAGGUAAAGAUAAUUAUUAAUAACUUUGGUUUAAAAAAGAUAAUUAUUAAUAGGGUUAUCUAAACUUUUAUUAUUAUUAUUUUGGAGAAUUUAGAGGUGCCAUAAAAAAAUAAGGGUUAAUUUCAUACAAGCUCAUGUAAAAAUAUCAAAUAAUAGAUAAAUUCCUACAAAAAUUAAAUGAUCAAAUUUAUCCCUUCGAAAAUUCUUUGGUUUAUGAAUAUAUCCUUCCAAAAGUUCAAGUUCAUUCAUAUAUGUCCCUACUGUUUGAUUCACCGUUAGUUCUUUAAUAGUGAGUGUGUAAAUUUACUAAUUUACUUUUACAAAUUUGGCGCUACAAAUUAAAAACUAUCUUUUUUUUUCUUUCUAUCACCAACUUCACUGUAGCAUGUGCAGCGCACCUCAUUUUUACCGCGACCGAAAGCCUUGCCUUCGACUUUGACGUCGCCGUCGCAAUAGGUCUCGCCAUUACCAUAGAUAAAGAGGAGAGGAUGAGAAAAAUUAAGGUACUCAAUAUUGGAGUACAAAUUAUAUAUAUAAGGGUAAAAAGAUUGUUUUACUCCUUAACUACUUGUAGGUAGCUUUUUUAACUCAUGAUUAUCUAAAUUUUAAUAACAAAAGAUAUAUUUGCAAACUGAAGAACUUUUAGAGGGAUAAAUUUAAUAACUUAAGUUUAAUAAGGAUAUAAUUGCUAUUUGAUACUUUUGUAGAGAAUUUAGAGGCCAUAGAAAAUAAAUAUUUAGGUUGUCUAAACUUUUUUUGGGGCUUAAAAAAUAUAAAAAUAAUUAUUAGUAACUUUGGUUUAAAAAAGAUAAUUAUUAAUAGGGUUAUCUAAACUAUUUUUUUUAUUAUUUUGGAGAAUUUAGAGGUGCCGUAAAAAAAUAAGGGCUAAUUUUAUACAGGUCCAUGUAAAAUUAUCAAAUAAUAGAUAAAUUCUUACAAAAAUUAAAUGAUCAAAUUUAUCUCUUCGAAAAUUCUUUGGUUUACAAAUAUAUCCCUUCAAAAGUUCUAGUUCAUUCAUAUACGUCUCUACUGUUUAAUACACCUGGUUGAGUGCAUAAACUGACUAGUUUACUUUUACAAAUUUGGCGCUACAAAAAACUAUCUUUUUUAUCUCUCCCUCACCAACUUCGCCGCAGCAUGUGCAGCAUAUCUUAUUUUUACUGCGAUCGAAAGUCUCGCCUUCGACGUCGUCGCCACGAUAGGUCUCACCGUUACCACAGAUAAAAGUGAGAGGGUGAGAAAAAUUACGGUACUCAACAUUGGAAUACAAAUUAUAUAUAUAAUGAGUAAGAAGAUUAUUUUACUCCUUAACUACUUAUAGGUAGCUUUUUAGGUCAUGAUUAUCUAAAUUUUAAUAACAAAAGAUAUAUUUGCAGACCGAAAGACUUUUAGAGGGAUAAUUUAAUAACUUAAGUUUAAUAAGGAUAUAAUUGCUAUUUGAUACUUUUGGAGGGAGCCGUAUACAAUUAUCCCAAAAAAAUAAGAAAAAAAUUUGGGGUGAGAGAGGCUCGAACUCUCGACCUCAGGAUAACUCUGCAAAGCUAUGAGACCUACGCGCUAGCCAACUGCGCCACCACCCCUUUUGUUUAAAUUAAGAAAUAAUUUAAUUUAUUGUGUAUCAAAAAUAGAAUAUUUAAAUUUGUAUUUUGUUUUAAGUCAUUUUCACUGUUUAUAAAGGUUAUUUUAGUUAAUAUUACCAAUGGUGCGUAAUAAUAUAGAUCUUGUCUCACAUUAGAUGCAUCAAUGCAUCAUGCAUGUAAAGCACUAAUUAAUUAUUAGCAUUUAUGUAUGGGACUAGCAUGUUGGAGUGAGUAAGUUUAAUGUUCAUGCAUUAUUAAUUAAUUCACAUGGUGUUACUCAUUUUAUCAUAUAUGUUAUCUUUUGAUAAGUUGGAGCACUACUUAAUUAAAGAACAUGAAAAGUAGUAAUGGUGUAUAUAAUCAAUUAUUACUCUUCAUGCUUCGGAAAUCCCACAUGGAUAAAGUUCGAACUCUCGCAUGCGUGUCUCAUAAAAGAAUUAGAAGAGAUCGCCUGACUCGAACUCAAGACCCUCUACUCUGAUACCAUAUGAAACAACUGUUGUACUCUAAAAACUUAAACUAUUAAAAAAUGGUGUUUAUAUAUUUUUAUAUUUAACAUAAAUUAAUGGUUCUUCAUUUACCCCAUUAUUAUUAUUCACAUAAUUUUAUACUUCAUCUGAAUAUGGGAAUAAGUUAUCCAAUAAUAUCAUAUUUGAUAUCAAAAUUUUCUAUUAUGAUUUGGGGCUAGAAUAAACUAUAAUUAAAUUUCUCGAAUGGAAUAGCAUAUUCGGCCUUUAAAUUAUUUUUUAUCAGAAUAAGAUGAAACACCUCGUAUGUGAAAUAUAUUAUCUUAUCAAAUUAAGGAAAAAACAAGAUUUUCAAGGAACGGAAACCAAACUCCUACUUUUCAAUUACACAACAAAAUUCUCAUUUCAAAUAACUUUUACACACCUCAUCACGAAAUUAAAGAGAUAAUUGAUCAACUCAUAGCACAAAUAAAUCGAAAUCUUAAUAUAAGUUCAUUAAAACAAUCCAAUACAUAUAUACAUAUCAAAUGAUCAAGUACUUUAAGAUCGCCUUCCAAUUAGGAGAUCCGAUACAUUUCAAAUCAAAUGAGGUCGGAUUAGAUCGAAUCAAAUUUACAUUUAUUUAUUCUUUUUCUCUAUCAAUGUGCCUCAAAUCCAACUUUUUUUUUUUUUUACUUGUCAUCAUAUUGAAAUUAAAGAGAAUUAAUGAUCAAGUCAUAGUACUACAAAUUGAAAUCUUAAUGUAAGUUCAAUAAUACAAUCCAAUACAUACAUGCAUUUCAAAUGACCAAGUACCAUUUCAGCAUUUCUCUCACUCUCUACAUCCUCUUCGGGACCGCCUCGCGGUUGCGUAGAUCCUCGAAGCUCCAAUCCCUUCGAACCCCGCCGCUUCGCAUCAACCGAGGCCCGCCCUCGGCGUCCCUCGACGUGGGGCUAUCGACUCUCUCUAUCUUUCGAUGCUUAUUCCCCUUCCCCUUGCUGUAUCGUGCCAAUUCGAUAGACCCUUCACGUAAUUGCGAGUAGGGGGGUGGCGGUAGUUCGUCCGACCAACUCCGUUUGAUCCCGCAGCACCGCACGGUUCGCGGGCUUUUGUAAGGGUCGCAAUCCAAGUCCGAUUCGCCGCCCCUCGACAUCACAUUACAUGUUAAGCAUGACAUGCUCAUGUUGAUGACCCAGUAGGAGUCUCCUACAUUUGAAAUAAAAGGAAUGUAGAUUGGAAUGGAUUCAAUUGAAAUGAAUUGGAUUGAGUUGGUUUUGAGAGGGGGAGGUUUAUGUAUGUAUAUAUGGUGGUUGAGAUGAGGAAAUUAAAGGAGAAUGCCUAGGGAAUGGAGUUGUCAUUGAGUUAUUUUCAGUUUGAUUUAUCCUUAAUUGGUUAAUCUUUAGUGGGGCUUUAUUGUGUUUGCUCCUAAAUUAGGGGCAAGUUAUGCUAAGAUUAGGCUUGUGGUUGGCCUAUUCAAUUUUAAGGCACAAAUCCUCCACCAAUAAUGUGCUUGGUACUAAAUAUACACUUGCUAAUAUGGUUUCCUCAAAAAAUUUGUUUGCUAGGCCUAAAUUGCUUUAAUAAAGGGUUGUUUUGUUGCAUGUAGUUAUAAAUACAAUACCAAUAGAGAUCGAUGCAUGUAAUUGAAAAUGCAGCAUAUACACUUGCAUUUAACUCGUUUGAGGUAUGUAGUUGAGAGUAUUGCAAGUACAAAAAUUAUAUUUGGUUGCUCCCACGCAGUUAGAAGCUACAUUUUCUAAUCUUAACAUUUCGUAUGCAAAACAGUAAAAAUUUUUUAUUUUUUGUUUAUGAGAUGAGUGGAUUGGUAAGAUUAUAGAAUUACUUUCUCCACGUAUUGCAUUUGAAGAGAGAGAAAUGUAGCAUGUGGGCCUCGAUAAGCAGCUCCAACUAUAGAACUAAAACAAAUCAAAUUGAUUAUUUUGGCUACAUUACAACUUAAAAUGUAGGGAAUUUUUGGAGGGGUUUAAUUUCAUAUACCGUAGUUAAUGGAAUCAAUAAAAAACAAUCUAGUUGGUCUAUUCUAGUACGCACAAACAUACAAGAAUAAACCUUUCUUUCCCACAUCAUCUCAAUAUGCAGAUAUCAUACUGUUAUUAUCAUUCAAAAAUCUCUCUUUUUUUUGGACUCUUUAUUACUAAGCAUUACUCGGUAGACAAAUCCUACAUUAUUAUUUCAUAUAUAAACAACAACACCCAAAUAAAAACUUCAUUAUAUUCAUAGUAGUUGAAAAAUAAUAACUUCGUUCCUUCGACCACAUUCCAGGAUAGAAUUACGCUAUUGCCACUGACUAAACAGGCCACUGUUCGUCUCGGUACAACCACAAUAUUUCAAAUUGGUAUGAUAACAACAUCGAUGUAUUGUUAAUAGUAUUAAAAGUGUUGUUUUUUUUUUUUUUCGAUGCAUAAAUCAUAUAAAUCUAAGCUCGAGUUAGUCAACAUAAAGAACAAUCAUAAGCAACACUCAAUUCUAUCAAACAAAAACAAAAGGGCCAAAAAACAUUAACCAACAAAUGAAAGCUCCCCAAAACAUUUAAUCGGAUCAUUUGCUUCUCACUAAAUCUUGCAAAGAGUCAAAAAUAAUAACAUCGACAUUACAUAUUUACAACCUCAGCUACAAGCAUUAGGUACCGAUUGUGAUGAGAAACAACUUCAAUAAUGUAGACAACGCAUUGUGCUUAAAACUAAUUCAAUUAGCGAAGAAGAAACGAUAAACACCCAGGAUACAACAAAAAGGCCCGGUAUCAACCACGGAUGUGUCGGGUCCUCUCUCUACCUCUUACAAGCUGCACAAAUAAUUGAACCACACGGAAAACAAGUUGCUUCUGGAAGCGGCGCUUCACGAUUGGACGUUCGCUUUGUUCCCUGCGAGGAUGAGGGAGAUCUCCAGCCCACGGCUGAAUGCUUGGUUGAACAGAAGGCGGGACUGGAAGGUGGACACGAAAGGGAACCACGAGAGCACCGCCACUGGGAUGAAGAUAAGUAUGCCCAUUCCCGCGUCAUACAGACGAGCAAUCUCGCGUAGCGAGUCCCACAGGCCCAGCCGUUUCACCACGCUUCUCCAUGUGAUUGCUAUCUGUUAAGAUUGUAGAAAUGUUUUUUUUUUUUUUGGGGUAAAUAGGAAAGUUAGCUUCGAGUUGCACAAAAAAAGUGAUAAAUAUGAAUGAGGUCUGUUGGAGAUUGCAUUAGGGUAAGAGAAAAGAGAGGCUAUUAUGUUCAAUAACAGGAAUAUUAAACACAACAAACGAGAACAUGUUUAGUAUAUGAUACAUACAAUACAUACAGGAACUCGAGAUCAGUCAUUAAAGCAUAGUUAAGAAAAUACUAGUACAACAGGGUGCUAAGUACAUAUAAACAUCAAUAAAUGACCUGCUCAGUAGGGGUGUUCGUGUGAACUGAAAAAAAAACCAAAUACCAACCUGAACAGAACCGGAACCAAACCGAUAAAACAGCUUUUCUUUUUUGUUUUUUUUUUUUCAGAUCCAGUUUGGAUCCUGUUCGGUUCCAGUUUUCACUUUUCACUUUUCAAGGAGCCUCUCACUUUUCAAAAUUGCACACCUCUCACGUCUUCUCCCUUGACUCACCCUGUUUCUCCACUGGCAGCUCUCCCACCAAACCCUCUCAAGCUAUCCGCUCCCACUUCUACUGUCACCCUAAACACUCUGCAGCUUCCCCCACUCACUUCCACCCUAGCUUGCAGCCGCCUACCGGCACUCUAGUGCCACCUCUCAAAGUCUCUCUCUUAGAUCUUCACCAUCGCCCUCUCUUCGCUGCUGUCGUCAAUGAUAAACUAAACCGCAAAACUAGUUCUCCAUAAAACCGGUUUCGGGGCCGGUUUUUAAGUUUGACAGAACCAGUUAAAACCAGUUCAGGACAGAAGUUUUGUGGUCAGUCCAGUUAAUAGGACAUUUCCACCCCCACUGUUCAGAAUGUGAUAGAUAUUUUUUUAUAUCCGUAAUAGAAAACUGAAUGUGAGCCUAGAUAUAGGACCAACUGAAAUCAAGAUGACAUGAUAUGUAAAAGCCUUGUCUCAUAUGAGAAUAAUUAAGGUUUACACAAAGAAACUAUAGUUAUGAGAUGCUUCACUACAUUAAUAAGAAUGUUGCAUCAGAAAGAAACUCAAUGACAAGCUUGCUAUCAUAGUGAAAAAGAAAAAGUCACAGACAGAGAACACACAGGCAGUUUUAGGUAAUGACUAAGUUUUGUAGAAAUGUGAUAGAGUGCGCAAUAAGAAACAUCGUGCAUUACCACUUAACGACAAUAAAUACAUCAGAAAAAGAAUCAAAAUUCUGAUAAGAAUUAUAAUAUCUUAGUUGUUACGGGAUUGUUGAGGCUAUCAAAAUAAACAGGAGGCAGUUGGACAAAAAUGAGCAGAUUAAUGGCAAGCAGGUUUAGCUUUCCUCAAUUAUGUUUCAAGUUAAAAGUUUGCAAUUAAAUGUUUAAGCUAUCGAUAACAUGAAACAACUAAGGAAUAAAAAUGAGGAACUUACAGACAACACAGCCCAUCCAGUUGCAAUAAAACCCAGAACACUAGCAAAUAAAUCGGCAAUUGUCAACGCAGUGAAUAUGACAGCAAGGAUGAUAAAGACAAUGGACCCUAUGGCUGUUGCACCCUGAAUAAACCGUAUAGUAAGCUGAACAUGGAUCUUUCCAGGGGUGAAGGUGAAAACCUGCAACAUCAUGUUAAACAGAGAUGAUUAGCAAAAAGAAGUGGGAAAAAAAUAUCAAGGAUUUUUUUAUUUUUUUUUUUUUUGUUUGCAGGAAUAAUUGGAGCACAAAGAGGGAAAGGUGGGAAAUAAUCAAAGAUAACAAACCUUGAAUACCAGUACAAUGACAAGGAGGACAAUCCACGAGAAACCAUAAAGCUGCAGAGAAAAGAAAAAAAUGUUAAUUUGUCUGAGAACAAUAUAGAGUUGUUAUGUACAAAUAUAAAAAGCAAAAAUAUAUAAUUUUUGAUAACCUAAAUAAAUAUAUUGCAGGUCAUUGAGAAUUUUUUAUUUAAUGAAUAUAAAGAUGACUUACUCCAAGGGAAGUAUUAUGUCCAGUAAGAUGUAGCUUGUAUACAAUGCCAUACUGAAAUAUUAAAAACCGUAAGGACAAGAUCGUCUCCAGGAUGCGUCCCCUCCACGUAUGGAUAUGAGCCUGCAAAUAUGCAUACCAAUGUAAGAAGAACAGAAAAGGUAAUGCAUUUGACUUAAUUUAAACUUUUUCCUUUUGUUCAAGAUAAAUAAUGAUUUGUUACUCCCUGUAAAAGAACACAUAACAAUUACGAAUAUAUAACAAAACAUUAUUUCUUUGGUGAUUUAACUAGAAAAAGAACAAGAACCUGAGGGGGAGGAACAAUACAGAAUGAUUAUAAUAAUUCUUGGGUGCAAACAAUGAGAAAAAGAUAGGAUAACCCACUUAAUAGCAAUAUAUCACCAAAGAAGAUGACUUCAAGCAGAAUGGAGUUAGAUGUAAAUUGAAAGACCUUUCUUAUGCGUCCUCGUUGCGCUAACCCAAAAUUUCAAAAUGAAGGUGAAAGUAGAUUCAUAACCAUUUCUGCCGUCAUUGAAAUUAUCUUCAGCCAAAAAACCAUUUAUCAAAAUUUUUUAUCCAACAACAAAAUGAAAUAACCAAGAAGCAAAAAAUUCAUGCAGAGGUGCAAUACUAUGCGGGCAAUAAUCAAGUUCACCUCGUACAAGCACUGAUAAUGAGACAAACAAACGAGAAAGACAUCAUGCACUUCAACAUACGGAAAUAUAGAUUCUCACCUGCUCCUCAUCCCACCACGAUUCCCAACUCUGUUCUCCUUUAACACCAACACCGCCUUUAUAGAAAAGCCAACUAGUCCAGUUAUCAUAAUCAUCAACAGUCCUUGUGAUUGCACAUCAAAUCAAAAAAAGAAAAAAGAGAGAAUGUCAAUACCAAUAGUCAAUAACAAUAGUAUAUGCAAACAACAGAGCUAAAAGUGCAGUGCUUUAAAGGUGCUAUAAAAGUUUAUACAGUCAUGACCAAUAUCAUCUGCUUUUGACUACUGCUAGAAGCACUGCACUAGGCGUUGAUCCUCGCUGAAGAGCCUAGGAACUAGCUGUCUAAUUUGCUGUUAUAACGAUCAUACUGAGCAAUCUUUAAACCCUAAUCGAACACCCUUUAGUAAGGUGGUUUCAGAAUUUAAAGGUCAUAUAAGACAUAACAGAAUAGAACACGGUCCUCCCAAAAAUUAGUAUAAUCACAUUUGUUAAUUUUACUUAUGAUAGAAAAGUAAGGUGUUAAUAUUUGUCCUCCUUCAAUAAUAUGAUUUAAAAGCUUGCUGCCUGAGUUAUAGGGCUUCUGCCUAUAGGUAAUAGAUAUAGAUUUUAGGGUCCAUCCGCCUGUGAUUGCCUGAUCCCUUCAACAACCUUGUCUACUGAUCACAAAUUAAGACUGAGAUUUGCAGCAGACUGAUAAUCGGUAAUAACUUUUCUUUACCCAAAAUAUGUCAAAUUAUCCACCCUUUUAAGUCAACACUUAAUCAUGGGGUAUCUAGCAAAAUGUCCUGCAGUAUGCAAGUAGUUAGCAUGCCCAUAGUCCCAUACUGUACUUAGCUACCUUGAGAGCUUUAACAAGAAGUCAACCGGUAAUCCAUUUGAGAAGUUUGAUGAAAAAAUGUGUACUUUUACCAACAGACUUACUUCUGCCACUCAAACCCAGAGGGGUUAAAAAUGUAUGGUGCGAAAAGCCAUGAUAUGACCAGAAACCAACUACUGAUAGUGACGAGGAUAAACGUAGAUGCACCACCAUCGGUGUAACCAUAUGCUAUGUAAACAAUGAGGAGGAUUGUAACCUCAAAACUGCAAAAAUAAAAGUUUCUUAAGAGGCAAGCCCAAAGGAGUAAUUCAAAAGAAAAGUAGAAAACUAGUCAAAAUUUUUAAACAGUAUUCAAUCUUACGCUUUAACAAAGUGGCUUCUGGAGUAAAGUCGAUAAUUUUCUGCAAAUGGAAUGUGACGAACAACAAACCCUCUGCCAGUAGCUCGAUACUGCAAAUGUGUAUGAACUAUGUUACAUAAACAUGCAUGAAUAAGAAAUGAUGAAAUUUUAAUCAUCUUUACUCAUAAUAUUCACAUACUUUAGCACCACCAUGGAGGAUUGUUCUCCCAAAAUAAUGAGUUCUGGUUCCAAGAGAGAAUGUAAAGAAGACAGAGCACAGCUGGAGCUGCAUGGUAACAAAACUAAAAACAGCCUGCAUAGGACAUAAUAAAGCAUAUUCAGAGGUUGGUUAGUAACCAACAUUGUUAGAAAAGAACCACAAGUUCAGAAAAGGAUAAGAAAGAAUAUUUGAAUAAAUAAACCUGUUCCAAAGUGCAGAGUACAUUAAAGAAAUACACAAAUAAAGACGUAGCACAAGCUAAUAAUAUGUGAGAGAAUUCGAUAAGUGUUUGUCCAUCACAUUAAUCUUGUUCAUGAGAGAAUUUAGAUAAAAGAUACACAUAUUUGACAACCACUAUACAAUCCGGAAAAUGCAUUUUUGCAUUUAGCACCUAAUAACCAAAUGGCCCACAGUGGAAGUUGACCACCGAACAAGAGCUGCUAUAUGAAUAAAUCAGUGAGAAUAACAUAUAAAAAUGGUUUUGGCAGAAUUUUACCAGCUAACAUAUACGAACAGACAACUUUACAAAUCAAUAAAAUGACAAUAGGAAAUAUUAAAGGAAACUAUGCAUACAUAUAUAUAUACACACACAUAUAUACACACUCUUAUGAGCACAGGGGCCUUCGGCUCAUAAGUCAAUUUUUAUGAUGGACCUUCCGAUUCGACGAUCUAUACCGUUAAAUAUGAUCUAGAGCAUUUGAAGUAUCUAAAAACCAAAAUUCAUAAUUUUUCAAAUUUACAAUUAAGUCCAUCAAGCAGGUAUAAAGUAAACGAUCAAAAUCAAAUGACCUUCUAAAAUAGAUGAUUGGAUUGUUGAAUUCAAGAUCGGAGUAAUUGAUCUUGAUCUAAAUAGUGAAUAAAAUUUUUCACCAAAAUUUCAACUGAUUCCGAUUCUUCGACAUCGUUAAAAAAGGAAUCGCCCCAUAAAGGCCAUUAAAAUUGUCAAUGCUUGAGGCCUUUUGAUCAUAAGGUAUAUGAUGUCAAAAUAUUAUGAAAUUUUGUUUUUAGAAUGUUCAAAUGCUAAUUAUAUUUAACAGUAUAGAUUAACGAUUCGGAAGCUCUAUCAUUGAAAACGACUAAUAAGUACGAAAACAAUCUUGCUCAUAAUAGUAUAGUAGCCAGACUCUCUCUCUCUACAUAUAUACAUAUAUACACAUACGCACACACAUAUAUAUAUAGAGAGAGAGAGAGCAAGACUGAAGCGCAUUUAGAAGGACGUAGACAUCCGUGCUAUCAAAUCGUUUUCGAUGAUGAGACUUCCAAAGCGAUGAUACACACACACACACACACACACACACACACAGAGAGAGAGAGAGAGAGAGAGAGAGCAAGGCUAGAGUGCUUUUAAAAAGAUGAAGGCGUUUGUGCUAUCAAGUCGUUUUCAAUGAUGGGGCUUCCGAAUCGACGAUAGACACUAUUAGACUUUAUCUAGAGUAUUUGAAGUACUUAGAAAAUAAAUUUCCCAUUUUUCGAUAUCAUUUACCCGCAGUUCGAAGGGGCACAAAAAUAACAAUUUAUUGGUCGAGAUGAGCCAUUUGCAAGUUAAUGAUGUAGAAAUAUCCAAAUCACAUGAAAUUUUGAUAGAAAAUUUUUUUAUCCUAUGUAAAAUUUUUUAUCUUUCAUCUAAAAUUUUCUUGUCAUAUCAUCACUUUUUGUAAGAUUUUUAUUUUCAACCAUUGAUUUUACGCCCAUCUAAUCGCUUGGUAAAUGAUACUGAAAAAUCACAAAUUUUGUUUUAGAAGCAUUUCCAAUAGUCUAGAUGUUUAACGGAAUCGAUCGUCGAUUCAGAUCUCCAAUCAUCGGAAACGGUUUAAUAGCACAGAGGCCACCGUGCUUCUAUAGGCACACAAGCCAGACUCUAUACAUACAUACAUACAUAUAUAUAUAUAUAUACAUAUAUAUAUAUAUAUAUAUAUAUAUAUGUAUAUAUAAAGAAUUCAGAAAGUGGUGGUAAGGGAGCUCUGCAAGGAACCUUGGAGAUUUUCAUGGUAGUAAAGAAAAGAUUAGGGUUUUACGUGAAUACAGUUAAAAGAAGAAACUAUUGAAUCUCAGCAUACAUGAAAAGGAAUAUGGUACCCAAAUGGAACUAUGAGAAAUUGACAAUUGUUUUUAUAUAUGGGUAAAAUUCCACCAACCUAUAGAUAUUACAGGGGCUAAUUACUCAGUUCAAAUUUACUGAAGGAGAAAAUUUCCACAAAAGAUCAUCAGUGAAGGAUAAGUUAAAGAAAGCACACUUCUCGAGAAAGGAAUGGUUAUUAGGUUUAAUAUAGAAAAUAGAGGAGCAAACCUGCAUUAGUCCUUGUUCCAGUAUGAAACCAAUUAUCAUUGGUACAGCUGUAAAAAUACCAAUCUGAACCAAAAAUUGAGCAUUCAAAGCAGCAUCAAGUGCAGUGUUUCCCAGCAAUCUUGCUUUGCGAGCUAUUGCUGAGUCGAUUCCAGAGAGCGCCUGGAAAUUCGAAAACAUCAGAAGUUUACAUUGAUAGGCAAAAUAACACAACAGUUGUUCAAAACUGAGAUUAAUCUUCAUCAGCAGGUUCUUGACAAUCACUAUAUAAAUACAAAUUUUGAGUAAGACUAACAACGUCCUACUGAAAUACCAUGAAGGCUUACCAGGUAUACCCGUCCAUAUAAGAAGAUGUACACAGUAAGAACAGUCAUCUGCAUAUGAAUUCAUUAAUCAUAAGUUAUCCAAUAACUACAAUCACACAGACACAUGUACACAUGUACACAUACACAAAGAAAGGGAGGGGGUGUGGCUGAGUAUUACCAUUGUGCACACAUAAUAACCAACAGUAGUGAAGAAGAAGGAUAACAUUCUAAAGAAGUCAAAAAGAUGCCCAAGACGAUAUACGUCUCGACUUAGGACUUGCUCUCCAUUGCCACCAGCCACUUUCCCUUCAAAAAGAGCAAUCUGGUUCAAACCUACAUCUCUGCCUUUUCCAACCUUCAAAUUAAAAAAAAGGGUAACAUCUGCAUUAAAUCUUGCACAUAGAUACUCAAAAAAUUUUACAAAAAAAAUCCAAAUAAAGAAAACCUGAAUAUAUUCAUGGUGUGUGAUAUUUCCUUGCCGCAAUGUCGAAUUGAAUCCUGCAAAAUUUUCAAAUUUAAGCAUACUUGUGCCAUAGCGCUAACAUAUAUUUAACAAUACUACCCUUUUUUUUAAUUUUGCAUGAGACCAAUCAAAGUAAAUAGUUAGAACUGUGGGCACAGUUGAUGCUAUUGUAGUUGUACUAACAAGUUUACCCCUGAUUAUCUAUGACUUACAAAACUCAAUUCCUCAGCUUUUCACUAUUUUAUGUUGCCAGCAAAAUGGUUACACUGCAAUAUAGUUGCAUACAUGAUAUUAUUUCCUUUUAGCAUACAUGAUAACCAUUUAGAUCAUCUGGCACACACUAGCUAUCUUAUUUCUGAUAAAAUACUUCUCAAACCUUGACCACCAAGUACGACAAUUACCUAACGCCCCAAAUAUUUUGUUGAGAACAUAGCAACCUUCCAAUGAAAUGACUAAGAUUAUGCAGCGUAAAUGACAAAAACAAUCAUCAUAGAGCAUUACCACACCACUUUCAUAGUACCUGCAUAUAUGUCUUCACUUAUAUUGAUAACACGAGAUGCUUUGCUUACACCACCUCUUGUUAUGUGGAAUAUCCUAUCGAAAACAUCGGGAUGCCCAUAAUGCAUACGAACCCUGUAAAAAGAACAGCAAACAUUGAUUGAUUAUCAUGACAUGAAACCACAUAGAAAUUAUGCUGCUGAUUAUUAGAGGAUCCAGAGAUUAAAAAAUGACUCACUUCAGGGGAUAUGCCAGAACACGUUGUCCCAAGGUAACAAAGCUAGUUUCUUGAUUCGACAUAAACCAAGCUAAAGAUGAAACACUACAAACAGAAAAAAAGAAAUUGAGAAAAAGAAGAACAAAUUGUUUAAAGAAACAAAACAAAACUCAAGAUUUAACGAAAACUCUCAAUAUACGAGGGAUAACCUUCCGGUAAAGACAUGCUCACGGACACCAAGAAUAGUAGGAGGUCGAAGGCCAUGAUUUGCCCGAAAUUCAUCAAGUAAAUUUCUCAUUUUCAUUGCCUCCUCAAGGUAGUUGUCCUAUAAGACAGGAAAAAGAUACAAAAAAGAUUGAAAAUUAUAUAUACAACCAGCACAAAAUAUACAAAAAGCCAACUAAAAGAAAGAAUUUCAGGAUGGAGUGUAGUAGAGAUCCACAAGCAAGUAAAAAUAGAAACAAAAGACUUCACAUAACAAAGUUAAAGUCGUCCUGCAGAACACAUUUACUUUGUAGUAUAAAUACAAUAUACUUGUAACCUGUGUUAAACUUAAUAAGCAUAAAUCUAGUAUCAUUGUAUAGGCAUAUCAAUAUAUAUAUCGAUGAAGAAAAUAAUUUAAAAUGUUACUGUACAUGGACAAGAAUGUUUUCAUAUAUGACAAUGUGGAAGCACAAAAUCAUUUGAACAAUUCAAACAGAGAACAUUAAGAAAAAGACAUGAAAAGUAACCUGAUUCAUGUCGAUAGUCUGUACAGCAUCACCACGGGUGAAAAUUAUAGCAUGGUUUUGAUUCUCAGGUUUCCCUUCUCCAAGCUUAGGGUUUCCAGGAAGCUUAAUAGAAUAUAUUUCCUAUAUAAAUGGAAAAGAAAAAGAAAAAACAUGUAGAAAGAAAAUGAAAUAGCGAUUAAAAUAGCAGAAGAGAAAAUUUCAAAAGCAGUGAUUACAACACCCCAGUUGAAUUAGAAGACUAUUCUGAUCAAACCAUCCAACAGCAGGACAAGUAUUGCAAACGGCCGGGGGGGGGCGGGCGUUGGAGGGAGGGAAUUAUUGGCCAUUUGAUGAAGUUGCCAAUGACUACCAUGAUAUACACUUAAGGAACAUGUUUCUGGUUUCAAUAAAUGGGAACUUAAGUUUCAUUGUUGACACUUGACAAUUUUAUCACUCCUGUUGGCUUAUAUACUAAAACUGUGUUCCUCUUUUAACAAUUUAAUUAGCUAAAUUAUAAAUUUACACCUUUUGUUGGGUUUGCAAGUUCUAGUCUACCUUCUAGGGACAUUGAUCUUUGAGCAUUCACCUCAGUACCAAACAUCUAUGGUUUACAGCCAAAUAUUAUUUAUUCAUCAAAAAAAAAAAAAAAACUAAAGUCGAUACAAAUUGGAGCAAAAUAGCAUGUUAAAAACAAACGACUUUUUACUGUGUGUUUGUUUGAUUAGCUCAAAAUUUUUAUAUAACUGACAGCCAAGGAACAAAAACACUUAAGACGUUCCACAAAUCCUAUAUGGCUAGAUGCUACAUUGAACCAGAUAAACUAGAGGAAACCAACAAAGUAAACUAUCAUCAAGAGUGCAUGAAUUAACAUUCAAUUACUACUAAAUUAGAUAUUUAAUUUGAUGCGUUAUAAAGUUUAAAAUAUGACAAAUAUCGAGGGUUGAAACUAGAUCGUAUUAAAUUACUGGAGUUGGCACGAUCCAACAAAGAUCAGCGGCAAACAAGAAAAUUUAUAUUAAAUAUUGACAGAAUAAAUUUCCAAAACAGCACCAACCUGAUCCUUUCCAUGAACAUCAGCUUUCAAUAGCUUUGAGUAGUAUUCUUUUAAUGGUUUGCCAUCACUAGAUACAGUUUCUUCCUCGUGUAUGAAAGCAACACGAAGUGCCUCAUUCCUGCAUAGCACAACAAGAAAAUAAAAUAAAAUAUCACUCUUAUACGGCAGAAGAAUGGUAAAAAAAUGUUUAUGUUCUAGGAUAUAGGGACUAAAACCCAAAAAAAAAAAAAAAAAAAUCAAAAUCAAAAUCAACCUGUACUCAAAACUUGAAGUACAAAAGGCAUUUAGCAAAUAAAGCUAGCAUAUGCUCACAGAGGAAAAAGCUGCACAGAGUAAGAAGUUCAAAAUUUAUGAUCACACAUCUUUUUACUGAAUAAAUAACCAAACAGACCUCUGCAUCAAAAGAGCAAUAUCAGCUGCCUCUGGAGCCUUCUUAUGCUUCUGCUGUCCAUAUAUUUGGCAUGAUACAACAUAGGUAAACUUAAGAUCUGCUUGAGCGCGUGCAUCAGAAGAUAAUUCAUAUCCUUGGAUAUUUCUAUAAUCAGCAUGAGAAUAACCAUCCUCAAGACCUGGAAGUUUGGAUGGAAAAAGACACAGCUAUCAAUAGAGUAAACUUAAAUAUUUAAGCAAUAAUUUGACUGUAACCAAAAUAUACCUCCAAGAGAUCUCCUUUCCAGAUAGCUUUGUAAUAUAAGGGCCCUUCUAUAGUACAUCAUACCACGUACUGUUUCGAUACAAAAGACAGUUAUCAAAUAAAUGACAGAAAUUAUUGAACAUAACAAUAAGAAACUUAAUUCGUAAAGCAAACCAGUAAACUCCUACUUAAGCAGAAUAAAUAAUUUAAUUAAAAUGUAGCAAACAAGUAUUCUUGCCCACCUGUCAAACAAGAUUGAUACAACUGAAAGAGUAGAUGAAUUAAAAGGUGAUGGAAUACACUAACCUGUCCUUGCUAAGGUCUGGCCGCGAUAGGAUACCCAAAAGCGUAGUUCCAAGGCAUCAUUGGAAUUAUCCUGGAUCUCAUCUGCUGAUGACUCAUCAAGGUUAAUUCGUUCCAAGAAAUUUGCCCAUUCAUCUGUUCAAAGAAUUAAUCAGCUAAUUAUAACCCAGAUGAAAGAUAUACCUUGACUUGUUAAAGCACAUAAUAAAAUAUGGAAAAAAAAAUUAACAUCAUUCAUGAAAAUGGAUGGCUUGCAACAGUCUAGAUCAAGGAUUUAAGUUCCCAUUGGCACAGUAGUGUGCCGACAAGGUAUCAGCACAAUAAGACCUUCGUGCCAAUGGAACAACUCAAAACCCUCCUACAAAAUUAGGAGGUAAUCCAUUAGUAGAGUAUAAAAGGAUUGAUAAUAUAUAUAUAUAUAUAUAUAUAUAUAUAUAUAUAUAUAUANAGCACAAAGGAUUUUGUGCUAUCGAGUUUUCUACCGUUAGAUUUAACCCUAUGAUUAUUUUUACCCGUUAGAUUAUAUUAUUCAACCAACCACUCACUUAACCCUAGGGGGCCCACAUCAUCCUAACCGCCCAUUUCUCAAUCCAAGGGCUAAAAAAUCAAUAGCACCAAUAGUUUGGUGCUAUUGAUAGUAUUCCGGCCUAGUUCUAUAUAUAUAUAUAUAUAUAUAUAUAUAUAUAUAUAUAGAGAGAGAGAGAGAGAGAGAGAGAGAGUCCAGCUACUACACUAUCGAUAGUACCAAGCUCUUGGUAUUAUCGAGUUUUCUGUCGUUAGAUCUACCCUUUGAUCAUUUCCACCCAUUAGAUUAUACUAUUCGGCCAACCACCCACUCAGGCUAGGAGACCACUAUCAUCCUAACUGGAAACCACUAUUAUUCUAACCGCACAUCCUUUCAUCCAACCCGAAAACUCGAUAGCACCAAGCACUUGGUAGUAUCGAUAAUAUAGUAACAUAAUUCCAUAUAUAU